AAAUUGAAGAGUUUGAUCAUGGCUCAGAUUGAACGCUGGCGGCAGGCCUAACACAUGCAAGUCGAACGGUAACAGGAAGCAGCUUGCUGCUUCGCUGACGAGUGGCGGACGGGUGAGUAAUGUCUGGGAAACUGCCUGAUGGAGGGGGAUAACUACUGGAAACGGUGGCUAAUACCGCAUAACGUCGCAAGACCAAAGAGGGGGACCUUCGGGCCUCUUGCCAUCAGAUGUGCCCAGAUGGGAUUAGCUAGUUGGUGAGGUAACGGCUCACCAAGGCGACGAUCCCUAGCUGGUCUGAGAGGAUGACCAGCCACACUGGAACUGAGACACGGUCCAGACUCCUACGGGAGGCAGCAGUGGGGAAUAUUGCACAAUGGGCGCAAGCCUGAUGCAGCCAUGCCGCGUGUAUGAAGAAGGCCUUCGGGUUGUAAAGUACUUUCAGCGGGGAGGAAGGUGUUGUGGUUAAUAACCGCAGCAAUUGACGUUACCCGCAGAAGAAGCACCGGCUAACUCCGUGCCAGCAGCCGCGGUAAUACGGAGGGUGCAAGCGUUAAUCGGAAUUACUGGGCGUAAAGCGCACGCAGGCGGUCUGUCAAGUCGGAUGUGAAAUCCCCGGGCUCAACCUGGGAACUGCAUUCGAAACUGGCAGGCUUGAGUCUUGUAGAGGGGGGUAGAAUUCCAGGUGUAGCGGUGAAAUGCGUAGAGAUCUGGAGGAAUACCGGUGGCGAAGGCGGCCCCCUGGACAAAGACUGACGCUCAGGUGCGAAAGCGUGGGGAGCAAACAGGAUUAGAUACCCUGGUAGUCCACGCCGUAAACGAUGUCUACUUGGAGGUUGUGCCCUUGAGGCGUGGCUUCCGGAGCUAACGCGUUAAGUAGACCGCCUGGGGAGUACGGCCGCAAGGUUAAAACUCAAAUGAAUUGACGGGGGCCCGCACAAGCGGUGGAGCAUGUGGUUUAAUUCGAUGCAACGCGAAGAACCUUACCUGGUCUUGACAUCCACAGAAGAAUCCAGAGAUGGAUUGGUGCCUUCGGGAACUGUGAGACAGGUGCUGCAUGGCUGUCGUCAGCUCGUGUUGUGAAAUGUUGGGUUAAGUCCCGCAACGAGCGCAACCCUUAUCCUUUGUUGCCAGCGAUUAGGUCGGGAACUCAAAGGAGACUGCCAGUGAUAAACUGGAGGAAGGUGGGGAUGACGUCAAGUCAUCAUGGCCCUUACGACCAGGGCUACACACGUGCUACAAUGGCGCAUACAAAGAGAAGCGACCUCGCGAGAGCAAGCGGACCUCAUAAAGUGCGUCGUAGUCCGGAUUGGAGUCUGCAACUCGACUCCAUGAAGUCGGAAUCGCUAGUAAUCGUGGAUCAGAAUGCCACGGUGAAUACGUUCCCGGGCCUUGUACACACCGCCCGUCACACCAUGGGAGUGGGUUGCAAAAGAAGUAGGUAGCUUAACCUUCGGGAGGGCGCUUACCACUUUGUGAUUCAUGACUGGGGUGAAGUCGUAACAAGGUAACCGUAGGGGAACCUGCGGUUGGAUCACCUCCUUACCUUAAAGAA
This 1552-nucleotide ribosomal RNA is filed under the name Salmonella enterica subsp. enterica serovar Typhimurium. Its description in RNAcentral is "bacterial SSU rRNA". It matches the Rfam family "Bacterial small subunit ribosomal RNA". The record is from RNAcentral. Lineage: Bacteria; Pseudomonadati; Pseudomonadota; Gammaproteobacteria; Enterobacterales; Enterobacteriaceae. RNAcentral also lists the same sequence under 2 other names.